UCCAGCCUGAGUGACAGAGUGAGACUCAACUAUAAACAAACAAACAAACAAACAAAUAAAUAAAGGGCCUCCUUGGAGGCCCAACACAUCAGGGACAUCUCAUCCACCGCUUACUCCUCCCAAGCCCAGCAGAGCAGGGAGGGUGGCGGAGCAUUUGCCCAGUGUGCACGGCUAAUGCCAUCCCGUCCACGUGAUCAAGUGGUACCUGGAAGAACCUGACAAGGCAGCUCCAGACUAAGGACAAGUCAACCCCUUUUCUAGCCUGUUUCCUCAUGGUGAACUGACAGGGUGGGACUAGAACUCACAAGUGGCCAGGCCAGCAUUGGAAGCCAGCUCUGCCUGCCCGCACAGGCCUGGACGCCCAGCCACAACCUGGUGUCCCCUCUGCCCAGCUCUCGCCUUGGCUCUCAGCUCCAAGAGGAUCACCUGGAAUCCAUCAUUGUCCACUGGAACUUUCUAUGAUGAUGGAAAUGCAUGCAGUUCUGCACUGUCGAAUACAGUGGUAGUCAGUAGCCAUAAGUGGCUACUGAGCACUCAAAAUGUGCCUAGCGCAACUAAGAAACUGAAUUUAUUUUAUUUUAUUUUAUUUUAAAAAUAAAGGCUAGUCUCAAACUCCCAACCGCAGGUAAUCUGCCCGCCUCAGUCUCCCAAAGUGCUGGGAUCACAGGUGUGAGCCACUGCGCCCGGCCUGAAGAUCCUUUCUAACAGAAUCAGAAUUGCACUGAUCGGAAGCAUGUCAGAGAUGCUGGUAGCUCUCUUGGAAUCCCAGUUAUUUUAGGAAGGAGUGCCUGAAUGAUCCAUGAGUGAAAAAGCCUAUCUUUGGCUUUAAGAUCAGUGGCCAGUUCCAUCUGGGAAGAAUUUAAGUGAUGAGUUAGGUCACUGGAGGCAUCCAUUUGGCAACUGUACAAUGAACAUCUAUGAUAGGUCAGGCUCUGGAGAAACAGAAACACACAUCUGGUCCUCGCUCUUGAGGAGCCCCCAGUCUGGGGACUGAUUUCUCAGUAAAGGGUGGGUAGACAAAGGUGCUCCCUCGAAGGAGAGCCCAAGGGUGCAGCAUCUGGGCUUGGAGUUUGACUGACAGCCCUCCCCCACAUUGAGGUCACGGUGAGUGAGGGCACAGGACAGGGCCCUCCAGCCCUUAUGCUCAGUCACUGGUGGAGCAUGAGUGGCAGCUGCCAAAGGGACAUGUUGACCAUCUUCUGUCCUUCUUUCUGACUUCAUAGCUUUGAACCCAGGGUGAGUCUGGGAUCCUCUAGAUUCCCCUAUGCUAUUGCCCCAAAUAGCUUCCAUGGGGUGGUUUGAAACAUAAAAACCAUCAGCUUUCAUCAACACUUCCCUCUAGAGGCUCAGAGAACCUUAAUUUCUUUUAAGGCACAGCUUACCUAAAGUGUGCAGCCACUAACUGCACAGCUCGAUGAAUGUUUACACACAUACCCUCCUGUGUUAACCAGCACUCAGAUCAAGACAGAGAAUAUUUCCAAAACCCCAGAAGGCUCCCCGGGCCCCUUUUCAGUUAAUACCUCCAAGGUUACUACUAUUUAGACUUCUAUCACAUAGAUUAGUUCUGCCUGUUCUAGAAUUUCAUACAGAUGGAGUCAUACGGUAUGUGCCCUUCAUUCGUGUUUGGGAGAUUCAUCCAUAUUACUGUG
This 1649-nucleotide long non-coding RNA is filed under the name Homo sapiens (human). RNAcentral describes it as "HSALNT0377969". Lineage: Eukaryota; Metazoa; Chordata; Mammalia; Primates; Hominidae. The record is from RNAcentral.